Molecule: ribosomal RNA, 434 nt
Filed under: uncultured bacterium
Lineage: Bacteria
Description: partial 16S ribosomal RNA
Rfam family: Bacterial small subunit ribosomal RNA
Source: RNAcentral
GAACGAACGCUGGCGGCAGGCCUAACACAUGCAAGUCGAGCGGACCUUUCGGGGUCAGCGGCGGACGGGUGAGUAACGCGUGGGAAUAUGCCCUUCUCUACGGAAUAGUCCUGGGAAACUGGGGGUAAUACCGUAUACGCCCUUUGGGGGAAAGAUUUAUCGGGGAAGGAUUAGCCCGCGUUGGAUUAGGUAGUUGGUGGGGUAAUGGCCUACCAAGCCGACGAUCCAUAGCUGGUUUGAGAGGAUGAUCAGCCACACUGGGACUGAGACACGGCCCAGACUCCUACGGGAGGCAGCAGUGGGGAAUCUUAGACAAUGGGGGCAACCCUGAUCUAGCCAUGCCGCGUGAGUGAUGAAGGCCUUAGGGUUGUAAAGCUCUUUCAGCUGGAAAGAUAAUGACGGUACCAGCAGAAGAAGCCCCGGCUAACUCCGUG